AUGAAAAGGAGGGGGGACCCAAGACCCAUACAGUAUAUGCAAGCGUUCCAAGAGGCUAUCGAUGAUUGUGAACUGCAUGAUAUCGGGUAUACUGGAGAACCGUUUACAUGGUUCAGAGGCAGAAUAAGGGAGAGACUGGAUAGAGGGCUGGCAAAUGAUGAGUGGACUGCAAUGUUUCCUAAUGCCUCGAUCCAGAACAUGGAGUAUAAUCACUCGGACCAUAGGCCUCUAUGCUUAGAUACAGACUACUUUGGCGGUUCGAUGGGUGGACACAAUGCAAAAGUGAAAAGGUUUGAGGCACGUUGGUUGAGAGAAGAGACCUUUGAUGCUACUGUUCGUGAAGUAUGGGAGAAAGUACAGGCAGACCCUACUGCCCAUGGCAUGUACGAGAAGCUAAAUAAAAUGCACGAGCGAUUUCAUGACUGGGACCAGCGGGUCCUGAAGAAACCAAAGAAGAGGCUGAGAAGAGCUCAGAGAGAACUUGAGAAAGUAAUAGCGGGGCCAAUGAACGAUGAAUACGAGGUGAAGAGAAGAGAACUAGCUGAGCUAAUUGAGUAUUUGCUUGAACUUGAGGAGAUUCAGUCUCGGUAG
This 591-nucleotide ribosomal RNA is filed under the name Triticum aestivum (bread wheat). RNAcentral's name for it is "partial small subunit ribosomal RNA". Lineage: Eukaryota; Viridiplantae; Streptophyta; Magnoliopsida; Poales; Poaceae. The record is from RNAcentral.